GAUGAAGAACGUAGCGAAAUGCGAUAAGUAAUGUGAAUUGCAGAAUUCAGUGAAUCAUCGAAUCUUUGAACGCACAUUGCGCCCUCUGGUAUUCCGGGGGGCAUGCCUGUUCGAGCGUCAUUAUAACCACUCAAGCUCUCGCUUGGUAUUGGAGUUCGCGAUCUCGCGGCUCCUAAAAUCAGUGGCGGUGCCUGUCGGCUCUACGCGUAGUAAUACUCCUCGCGAUUGAGUCCGGUAGGUUUACUUGCCAGCAACCCCCAAUUUUUGCAGGUUGACCUCGGAUCAGGUAGGGAUACCCGCUGAACUUAAGCAUAUCAAUAAGCGGAGGA
Molecule: unclassified non-coding RNA, 329 nt
Filed under: soil metagenome
Description: partial contains 5.8S ribosomal RNA, internal transcribed spacer 2, and large subunit ribosomal RNA
Rfam family: 5.8S ribosomal RNA (bases 1-120)
Source: RNAcentral